This 71-nucleotide transfer RNA is filed under the name Clostridium sp. Its description in RNAcentral is "tRNA-Leu". It matches the Rfam family "tRNA", at positions 9 to 64 of the family's 71-position model. From Rfam's summary of the family: Transfer RNA (tRNA) molecules are approximately 80 nucleotides in length. Their secondary structure includes four short double-helical elements and three loops (D, anti-codon, and T loops). Further hydrogen bonds mediate the characteristic L-shaped molecular structure. tRNAs have two regions of fundamental functional importance: the anti-codon, which is responsible for specific mRNA codon recognition, and the 3' end, to which the tRNAs corresponding amino acid is attached (by aminoacyl-tRNA synthetases). tRNAs cope with the degeneracy of the genetic code in two manners: having more than one tRNA (with a specific anti-codon) for a particular amino acid; and 'wobble' base-pairing, i.e. permitting non-standard base-pairing at the 3rd anti-codon position. The record is from RNAcentral. Lineage: Bacteria; Bacillati; Bacillota; Clostridia; Eubacteriales; Clostridiaceae. RNAcentral also lists the same sequence under 1 other name.
GGCGGAACUGGCAGACGCACAGGACUUAAAAUCCUGCGGUGGUUAAACACCGUACCGGUUCGAUUCCGGUC